RNAcentral lists this ribosomal RNA (497 nucleotides) under uncultured bacterium. Its description in RNAcentral is "partial 16S ribosomal RNA". It matches the Rfam family "Bacterial small subunit ribosomal RNA", at positions 28 to 507 of the family's 1533-position model. The record is from RNAcentral.
GAUGAACGCUGGCGGCGUGCCUAAUACAUGCAAGUCGAGCGAACGGACGAGAAGCUUGCUUCUCUGAUGUUAGCGGCGGACGGGUGAGUAACACGUGGAUAACCUACCUAUAAGACUGGGAUAACUUCGGGAAACCGGAGCUAAUACCGGAUAAUAUUUUGAACCGCAUGGUUCAAAAGUGAAAGACGGUCUUGCUGUCACUUAUAGAUGGAUCCGCGCUGCAUUAGCUAGUUGGUAAGGUAACGGCUUACCAAGGCAACGAUGCAUAGCUGACCUGAGAGGGUGAUCGGCCACACUGGAACUGAGACACGGUCCAGACUCCUACGGGAGGCAGCAGUAGGGAAUCUUCCGCAAUGGGCGAAAGCCUGACGGAGCAACGCCGCGUGAGUGAUGAAGGUCUUCGGAUCGUAAAACUCUGUUAUUAGGGAAGAACAUAUGUGUAAGUAACUGUGCACACCUUGACGGUACCUAAUCAGAAAGCCACGGCUAACUACGUG